CUCCCCAGCUUCCCUUUCAGUUCUGCAGCCCUUUCCCUCCACUUCCUUCCUCUUCUCUGCUCACACAGGGAGCCCAGGAGGUCUCUGCCUCAAAGAUGUCACUGCUGCUGCUGCCGCCCCUGCUGUGGGCAGGGGCCCUGGCUAAGGAUUCAAGAUUCUGGCUGAAAGUGCAGGAUUCAGUGACAGUGCAGGAGGGUUUGUGCGUCCUCGUGUCCUGCACUUUCUCCCUCCCACCCUCCUACCUCAGGAAUAACCCAGUUUAUGGUUACUGGUUCGGGAAAGAAGCCACUGUAUCCCUGGACUCUCCAGUGGCCACAAACAACCCAGAUCGAGAAGUACAGGAGGAGACCCAGGGCCGAUUCCGCCUUCUUGGGGAUCCCAGGAAGAACAACUGCUCCCUGAGCAUCAUAGAUGCCAGGAGGAGGGACAAUGGCUCAUACUUCUUUCGGAUAGAGACAGGAAGUACCAAAUACAGUUACAUAUCCACCCAGCUCUCUGUGCAUGUGACAGACUUGGCCCACAGGCCCAAUAUCCUCAUCCCUGGACCCCUAGACCCUGGCCAUUCCAAAAACCUGACUUGCUCUGUGCCCUGGGCCUGUGAGCAGGGAACACCCCCCAUCUUCUCCUGGAUGUCAGCUUCCCCCACCUCCCUGGGCCCCAGGACUACCCACUCCUCCGUGCUCAUCAUCACCCCACGGCCCCAGGACCAUGGCACCAACCUCACCUGUCAGGUGAAGUUCCCCGGAGCUGCUGUGACCACAGAGAGAACCAUCCAGUUCAAUGUCACCUAUGCUCCACAUAACCCAACCACUGGUAUCUGUCUAGGAGAUGGCCCAGAGAAACAAGAGACCAGAGCAGGAGUGGUUCAAGGGGCCAUCGGAGGAGCUGGUGUCACAGCCCUGCUCAUUCUUUGUCUCUGCCUCAUCUUCUUCAUUCCCUCAUUCCAGACUCAUAAUAAUGGCCCUACAGCCUGAGAAAACCAGGCUCAAAGACCCUGGUGUCUUCCAUCAGAGUGAAGAUCCACAGGAGGAAAGCAGCCAGGACAGCAUUGGGCAGGAAUGACACCUACCCUGCCAGAGUGCCAGCCUCCCUGGAACACCAGAGGAAGUCCAAGUUACAUGGCCCCACUGAAACCUACUGUGCCGCCCCUACUGUGGGGAUGGACGAAGAGCUGCAUUAUGCUUCCCUCAGCUUUCAUGGGAUGAAUCCUUCCAAGGACACCUCCACGGAAUACUCAGAGGUCAGGACCCACUGAAGAACCCACAAAAGCAUCGGCCUCAGCUAGAAGAUUCAUAUCCUCUAUGGGUCAGGGACCAAAGGCUAAUUCUUGGAGAUUUAACACCCUACAGGCAAUGGGUUUAUAGACAUUAUGUGAGUUUCCUGCUAUAAUGUCAUCAUCUUAGACUUUGUCACUAGAGAGUGCUGGAAUCAAAUCUGUGCUCCUUCAUUUACAAAGUGUAUGUUAUCACACAAGCUCCUUAACCUUCCAUGUCUCCAUUUCCUUCUCUGUGAAAUAGGUGCAAGAAGUCCUAUCUCAUAGGGAUCCUGUGAGCAUUAAAUAAAAGUACGCAUGAAAAAUGCCAGUCCUGGUGCAGUGAGAGUUUGACGCAUACUGGUUCCUUCCCCCUUGAACAGAAGGCAUUAGUGACCUUUGAUCCCUGAAAUUAUAUCAGCAACAUGUCCAUCGCACUUGCUGGUCAAAACACCACCAUGCAUGUCUUCCCUGACUUGCCCUCCAACAUCAUCUCUCUCCACUCCUGAAUCUUCCCUUUCUAUCCCACCUGUCUCCUGCUCAGAUUUCUCCUUUCUUUAUGUCCUGCUACAAGGAAAAUCACAUAUUAGCAUUUGGGAAAUUUUCUAAAACUCAGAGCUGACCAUAGUCAAAAUACUUCCCUAGAUCCCCAGCCCACAAGAAUGACAUUCUAAUGUGACAUUCUAAGUCAGAGAUGGUCAACCAGUAUUAGCAAAGGGCCAGAUAGUAAACAUGUUCAGUUUU
RNA transcript from Cebus imitator (Panamanian white-faced capuchin), 1996 nucleotides. It is a transcript of the gene named myeloid cell surface antigen CD33-like, with no coding region annotated. NCBI's taxonomy places the organism in Eukaryota, Metazoa, Chordata, Mammalia, Primates, Cebidae. The transcript has 7 exons. The record is from RefSeq and is a predicted model, not a curated record.